AUGAACGCUGGCGGCGUGCCUAAUACAUGCAAGUCGAGCGAACGGACGAGAAGCUUGCUUCUCUGAUGUUAGCGGCGGACGGGUGAGUAACACGUGGAUAACCUACCUAUAAGACUGGGAUAACUUCGGGAAACCGGAGCUAAUACCGGAUAAUAUUUUGAACCGCAUGGUUCAAAAGUGAAAGACGGUCUUGCUGUCACUUAUAGAUGGAUCCGCGCUGCAUUAGCUAGUUGGUAAGGUAACGGCUUACCAAGGCAACGAUGCAUAGCCGACCUGAGAGGGUGAUCGGCCACACUGGAACUGAGACACGGUCCAGACUCCUACGGGAGGCAGCAGUAGGGAAUCUUCCGCAAUGGGCGAAAGCCUGACGGAGCAACGCCGCGUGAGUGAUGAAGGUCUUCGGUUCGUAAAACUCUGUUAUUAGGGAAGAACAUAUGUGUAAGUAACUGUGCACAUCUUGACGGUACCUAAUCAGAAAGCCACGGCUAACUACGUG
This 496-nucleotide ribosomal RNA is filed under the name uncultured bacterium. Its description in RNAcentral is "partial 16S ribosomal RNA". It matches the Rfam family "Bacterial small subunit ribosomal RNA", at positions 29 to 507 of the family's 1533-position model. The record is from RNAcentral.